GCGCGAACACUUUACAAUGCGGGAAACCGCGAUAAGGGAACCCCGAGUGCCAGCAUCAAAUGUUGGCUGUCCAGAUGAUUAAAAAUCAUUUGUUAGCAAGGGCCGGGCAAGACCGGUGCCAGCCGCCGCGGUAACACCGGCGGCCCGAGUGGUAGCCGUUUUUAUUGGGUCUAAAGGGUCCGUAGCCGGCCUGAUAAGUCCUUUGGGAAAUCUGGCAGCUUAACUGUCAGGCUUCUAAGGGAUACUGUCAGGCUUGGGACCGGAAGAGGUAAGGGGUACUCCAGGGGUAGGAGUGAAAUCUUGUAAUCCCUGGGGGACCAUCUGUGGCGAAGGCGCCUUACCAGAACGGGUCCGACGGUGAGGGACGAAAGCUAGGGGAGCAAACCGG
This 388-nucleotide ribosomal RNA is filed under the name uncultured archaeon. Its description in RNAcentral is "bacterial SSU rRNA". It matches the Rfam family "Archaeal small subunit ribosomal RNA", at positions 339 to 727 of the family's 1478-position model. The record is from RNAcentral.